RNAcentral lists this ribosomal RNA (494 nucleotides) under uncultured bacterium. RNAcentral's name for it is "bacterial SSU rRNA". It matches the Rfam family "Bacterial small subunit ribosomal RNA", at positions 903 to 1397 of the family's 1533-position model. The record is from RNAcentral.
AAAUGAAUAGACGGGGGCCCGCACAAGCGGAGGAACAUGUGGUUUAAUUCGAUGAUACGCGAGGAACCUUACCUGGGCUUAAAUGUAGAGUGCAUUAGGUGGAAACACUUAUUCCCUUCGGGGCUCUUUACAAGGUGCUGCAUGGUUGUCGUCAGCUCGUGCCGUGAGGUGUCGGGUUAAGUCCCAUAACGAGCGCAACCCCUAUCGUUAGUUGCCAGCGGGUAAAGCCGGGGACUCUAGCGAAACUGCCGGUGUAAACCGAGAGGAAGGUGGGGAUGACGUCAAAUCAGCACGGCCCUUAUGUCCAGGGCUACACACGUGUUACAAUGGCCAGUACAGUGGGCAGCUACCAUGUAAAUGGAUGCUAAUCUCCAAAGCUGGUCUCAGUUCGGAUUGGGGUCUGCAACUCGACCCCAUGAAGUUGGAUUCGCUAGUAAUCGUAUAUCAGCCAUGAUACGGUGAAUACGUUCCCGGGCCUUGUACACACCGCCCGU